Alexandromys fortis (reed vole) is the source of this 1093-nucleotide long non-coding RNA. RefSeq lists it as uncharacterized. The transcript is spliced from 3 exons. Lineage: Eukaryota; Metazoa; Chordata; Mammalia; Rodentia; Cricetidae. The record is from RefSeq and is a predicted model, not a curated record.
AUAUCUUGCAGGCAGGACAGGCUAUGAUUGAAGAAUGCUGAUUCACAACAUGAAGAAGAUGAAGAUAGGGCCAUUCACAUACCCUGGACUCCUUAAGGUUUGAUUAAGACCCUCUGUGUCAACCCAUCUCCUCAGUCACUGAAGACACUGUACACUUUAGAUACAUGAUCUAGAAAAGCCCAAGAAGAACCGAGCUGGAAGACUGUGACUGUGCAGAUCUCUCAGAGUACCAAUUAUACGUGGGGGCUUGGGAAGAAAGGCAAGGUGCAUUAUCGAGCUUGAAUUCUAUCACCUUUGGGAAUAACCUACUAGCCAAGAUGUGCCCUCUCAUGAAACAGUGCUCUCUGAUAGGAUUUGAGAAACACUCCAAAGGAGAGAAUAUGUAAACCUGGCCAAUGAUCCAUGGCAGGGUAGCUCAUAGGCCUUAGGAAAGAGCGGAUUGCUGUUGUUUAGUCAACUGGCAUAGUUUCAAGCUACCUUCUAAACAUUUGUUUCAUAUCUAGAGACUUUUAUUGCUCUUUGCCUUAAUUCUCUUUCAAGAUAAUGUUGCUUAGUGAAGAGAUUCCUGACUGUACAGCAUUCAUAAAAUAUGUGACAGAAAAUACUUACUAAACAAGAUAUUUACCACCACCCCCAAGGCCCAACUAACAGUACAGAAAUGAAACCAGAGAGAACAUAGAGUUAGAAAACAUAGAAUAUGCUUUGAAAUGCCAUCUCCUGUGCAAGUCAUAACUAUUGCAAACAUGAACUUGCAGUAACUUUAGAUGCCCGCCCUGGGUCCGCAUAAGGAUGGGUUCAUAAUAGUUUACUAAUAGUAAAAGAGGGAUGAAGGAGGUUGCAGGAGUCAUUUUCAUGUGUAGCUUUUGUUAAAUUUCUCUUCAGUUUUAUGUUAGCAUGACUUUAUUUAACCACAAUCAUUUAAGCUGUUUAUAUAGCUAGAAUAUAGUUCCAUUAUUAAGUGUUAUUAAUGUAAUCAAUCAUGAGCAUUAGUAAUGUGAAAAAUAAUAAAAACUUGAAUAGUAUGCAAUAUAUUCUGGAUAUGAUAUAAUUCAUCAUAAAGAAUCCUUCACAUAUUUAUACUUUUCCCAUUAUG